Molecule: unclassified non-coding RNA, 357 nt
Filed under: soil metagenome
Description: partial contains 5.8S ribosomal RNA, internal transcribed spacer 2, and large subunit ribosomal RNA
Rfam family: 5.8S ribosomal RNA (bases 1-119)
Source: RNAcentral
GAUGAAGACGCAGCGAAAUGCGAUAAGUAAUGUGAAUUGCAGAAUUCAGUGAAUCAUCGAAUCUUUGAACACACAUUGCGCCCGUCAGUAUUCUGGCGGGCAUGCCUGUUCGAGCGUCAUUACGCCCCUCAAGUCCCCUGUGGACUUGGUGUUGGGGAUCGGCGAGGCUGGUUUUCCAGCACAGCCGUCCCUUAAAUUAAUUGGCGGUCUCGCCGUGGCCCUCCUCUGCGCAGUAGUAAAACACUCGCAACAGGAGCCCGGCGCGGUCCACUGCCGUAAAACCCCCCAACUUUUUAUAGUUGACCUCGAAUCAGGUAGGACUACCCGCUGAACUUAAGCAUAUCAAUAAGCGGAGGA